Molecule: unclassified non-coding RNA, 415 nt
Filed under: Hevea brasiliensis (rubber tree)
Lineage: Eukaryota; Viridiplantae; Streptophyta; Magnoliopsida; Malpighiales; Euphorbiaceae
Source: RNAcentral
GAAAAUUUGUUAUAAUGGAGCUGUUGGGUGAGAUGCGUCAUGGUACGAUAGUGCUAUCAAGGCCAAAAUAAUUGUUCUGUUCGACCCUCCACUGGGGAGAAUGACAGGCCUAAACUAGGGGAGGUUGUCAAAUCCAAGUUCCACAUCGAUAGUUCAAUGGGAAGCUCUUUGGAUUUUUUCUUUCCGAAGCUUAUUAAGCUAUAACAAAUCUUUACAUUAUCUUUAGUUGGUUUUCUUUGUUUAAUUGUUCAUAUCUUUUUCAAUAAAAUGUUAAAACCAUCUGACAAAAUUUCCACUUGCUAGGCAUAUUACUCAUGCAUAUGGCAUAAUUGAUUUUGUCAUUAUCAGAUGACUCUUAAUCUACAUGGCUGUGAGUUAAUUGUUCCUGAGUCACUUGCCACAUUUGUUUUUUAAC